Molecule: ribosomal RNA, 1662 nt
Filed under: metagenome
Description: bacterial LSU rRNA
Rfam family: Bacterial large subunit ribosomal RNA
Source: RNAcentral
CAAUUGCAUGCGGGAAGAAGCAGUACCGUAAGGAGCUGUGGACUGCAUGGAAGAGAGAAUGCCGGAAUGAGUAGCGAGAAUAAGGUGGGAAUCCUAUGGCCGAAUAUCCAAGGUUUCCAGAGUAAAGCUGAUCUGCUCUGGGUAAGUCGGGGCCUAAGGCGAGGACGAGAGUCGUAGCCGAUGGACAACAGGUGGAGAUUCCUGUACUGCGGUAUGACAGAACUGUGGGGACACGUAAGGAAAGCGGAAGCCGGGAAUGGAAAGCCCGGUGCAAGCGGGGUACCAGUCACUUUGGCAAAUCCGGGUGGCAAUGGGAAGCCGUGAUGCGGAGCGAAAUAAAGUAGCGAAGUCCGUGAGCCAUGCGUCAAGAAAAGCCGUUAUCGUUUAUACCGUACCCGUACCGUAAACCGACACAGGUGGAUGAGGAGAGAAUCCUAAGGCCGGCGGAAGAAGCAUUGUCAAGGAACUCGGCAAAAUGGCCCCGUAACUUAGGGAUAAGGGGUGCCUGGGAAACCAGGCCGCAGAGAAUAGGCUCAAGCAACUGUUUAGCAAAAACACAGGUCUAUGCAAAACCGUAAGGUGAAGUAUAUGGGCUGACGCCUGCCCGGUGCUGGAAGGUUAAGGGGAGAGGUUAGCGCAAGCGAAGCUUUGAACUUAAGCCCCAGUAAACGGCGGCCGUAACUAUAACGGUCCUAAGGUAGCGAAAUUCCUUGUCGGGUAAGUUCCGACCCGCACGAAAGGCGUAAUGAUUUGGGCACUGUCUCAACAAUGCACCCGGUGAAAUUGAAAUACCAGUGAAGAUGCUGGUUACCUGCGCCAGGACGGAAAGACCCCAUGGAGCUUUACUCCAGCUUGAUACUGGGAUUCGAUAUUGUAUGUACAGGAUAGGUGGGAGGCGAAGAAGCAUUGACGCCAGUUGAUGCGGAGCCGCUGUUGGGAUACCACCCUUGCAGUAUUGGAUUUCUAACCAGCAGCCGUGACCCGGCUGGGGGACAAUGUCAGGUGGGGAGUUUGACUGGGGCGGUCGCCUCCGAAAGGGUAUCGGAGGCGCUCAAAGGUUCCCUCAGAAUGGUUGGAAACCAUUCGAAGAGUGCAAAGGCAGAAGGGAGCUUGACUGCGACACCGACGGGUGGAGCAGGUACGAAAGUAGGACUUAGUGAUCCGGUGGUAUAAAGUGGGAUUGCCAUCGCUCAACGGAUAAAAGCUACCCUGGGAUAACAGGCUUAUCACUCCCAAGAGUUCACAUCGACGGAGUGGUUUGGCACCUCGAUGUCGGCUCAUCGCAUCCUGGGGCUGAAGUAGGUCCCAAGGGUUGGGCUGUUCGCCCAUUAAAGCGGUACGCGAGCUGGGUUCAGAACGUCGUGAGACAGUUCGGUCCCUAUCCGGCGUGGGCGUAGGAUAUUUGAGAGGAGCUGGCCUUAGUACGAGAGGACCGGGCUGGACUGACCGCUGGUGUAUCUGUUGUUCCGCCAGGAGCAUGGCAGAGUAGCCAAGUCAGGAAGGGAUAAACGCUGAAGGCAUCUAAGCGUGAAGCCCCCCUCAAGAUGAGAUAUCCCAACGCAAGUUGUAAGACCCCUUGAAGACGACAAGGUAGAUAGGGCAGAGGUGGAAGUGCAGUAAUGCAUGGAGCUGACUGUUACUAAUCGGUCGAGGGCAUAACCG